Molecule: long non-coding RNA, 510 nt
Filed under: Eucalyptus grandis
Lineage: Eukaryota; Viridiplantae; Streptophyta; Magnoliopsida; Myrtales; Myrtaceae
Description: long non-coding RNA (EGRA_LNC001328)
Source: RNAcentral
GAUAAUGUGGGUAGAUUUGUGGAUGUGUCCAUGAAGCCUUCCCGGCCGUCCCGGUCCGUCGCCGGGCAUGUUGUUUAAUCAUUCACUGCAUGCAUGUCUCUCUCUGUUUUGCUUGAGAAAUUGCCGUACACGUACUUCUGGCCUCCAGGAAAAGAGAACUUCUGCACGUUAGAGUCGAGCUUUACUUGGUAAAUUUCUCUUUUGGGAAUGAAAUGGAUGUUAGGGGAGUGAAAAAUGGAUAGAUUGGAACUUGCGAUUGAGCUCGUUGAAUGCCUCGGUCUGCGUCCAAUUUGAGAAGUGAUCUUUGUGGCCGGCCAAGGAGGAUUUCUUGUAUGACGAAAAAGAAACUAGCAUUUCUUGGGCAUUGUGUUCUUUGAAAAAUUAGGGUUUCUUUCUCUUUCCCUUCGAUUGGGCGGAGAUGGACUGGAAUCUUUUUUUAGAAAAAAAGAAAAUGGUAGAAAUGAUUCAUGAAUUUGGACCCGAUGUAUAAUAUCGUCUUUAAAUUUUUAA